Molecule: ribosomal RNA, 493 nt
Filed under: uncultured cyanobacterium
Lineage: Bacteria; Bacillati; Cyanobacteriota
Description: bacterial SSU rRNA
Rfam family: Bacterial small subunit ribosomal RNA
Source: RNAcentral
UAAUGAUUUCAGUGGCGCACGGGUGAGUAACACGUGAAUUACAUGCCCUUCAGUGGGGAAUAGCCCAGGAAGACUUGGAUUAAUACCCCAUGGUAUCGCAAGAUUAAAGGUGGCCGCAAGGCUGCCGCUGAAGGAUUGGUUCGCGCCCUAUCAGCUUGUUGGUGAGGUAACGGCUCACCAAGGCUACGACGGGUACCUGGUCUGAGAGGACGAUCAGGCACACUGGAACUGAGACACGGUCCAGACACCUACGGGUGGCAGCAGUCGAGAAUAAUUCACAAUGGGGGCAACCCUGAUGGUGCAACGCCGCGUGGAGGAUGACGGUCUUCGGAUUGUAAACUCCUGUCAUCCGGGAGAAAGACCUGGGAGUUAAUAGCUCACAGGGUUGAUAGUACCGGAAGAGGAAGGGACGGCUAACUUCGUGCCAGCAGCCGCGGUAAUACGAAGGUCCCAAGCGUUGUUCGGAAUCACUGGGCGUAAAGGGAGCGUAGGC